GUCGAGCGGAGAGAGGUAGCUUGCUACUGAUCUUAGCGGCGGACGGGUGAGUAAUGCUUAGGAAUCUGCCUAUUAGUGGGGGACAACAUUUCGAAAGGAAUGCUAAUACCGCAUACGUCCUACGGGAGAAAGCAGGGGAUCUUCGGACCUUGCGCUAAUAGAUGAGCCUAAGUCGGAUUAGCUAGUUGGUGGGGUAAAGGCCUACCAAGGCGACGAUCUGUAGCGGGUCUGAGAGGAUGAUCCGCCACACUGGGACUGAGACACGGCCCAGACUCCUACGGGAGGCAGCAGUGGGGAAUAUUGGACAAUGGGCGCAAGCCUGAUCCAGCCAUGCCGCGUGUGUGAAGAAGGCCUUAUGGUUGUAAAGCACUUUAAGCGAGGAGGAGGCUACUUUAGUUAAUACCUAGAGAUAGUGGACGUUACUCGCAGAAUAAGCACCGGCUAACUCUGUGCCAGCAGCCGCGGUAAU
This 469-nucleotide ribosomal RNA is filed under the name uncultured bacterium. RNAcentral's name for it is "bacterial SSU rRNA". It matches the Rfam family "Bacterial small subunit ribosomal RNA", at positions 61 to 524 of the family's 1533-position model. The record is from RNAcentral.